Molecule: ribosomal RNA, 655 nt
Filed under: Arthrobacter sp. AT-MI-03
Lineage: Bacteria; Bacillati; Actinomycetota; Actinomycetes; Micrococcales; Micrococcaceae
Description: bacterial SSU rRNA
Rfam family: Bacterial small subunit ribosomal RNA
Source: RNAcentral
ACCCGCGUCGUCUGCGCGCGUGGGUGUAUUAGUGGCAAACGGGAGAGUCACACGUGAGUAACCUGCCCUUAACUCUGGGAUAACCUUUGGAAAGGGGGUCUAAUUCUGUAUUUUGUUUUUUUCUCGCGUGGGGAUUGGGUGAAAGAUUUAUUGGUUUUGGAUGGACUCGCGGCCUAUCAUCUUGUUGGAGAGGUAAUGGCUUACCAGGGCCACCACGGGUAGCCGGCCUGAGAGGGUGACCGGCCACUCUGGGACUGACACACGGCCCACACUCCUACGGGGGGCAGCAGGGGGGAAUAUUGCACAGUGGGCAAAAGCCUGAUGCCGCCACCCCGCGUGAGGGAUGACGGCCUUCGGGUUGUAAACCUCUUUCAAUAGGGAACAGGGCCAGUGUUUAUCUGGUUGAGGGUACUUGCAAAAAAAGCCCCGGCUAACUACGUGCCAGCCCCCGCGGAAAUACAUAGGGCGCAAGCUUUAUCCAGAAUUAUUGGGCGUAAAGAUCUCGUACGCGGUUUGUCGCGUCUGCCGUGAAAGUCCGGGGCUCAACCCCAGAUCUGCGGUGGGUACGGGCAGACUAGAGUGAUGUAGGAGAGACUGGAAUUCCUGGUGGAGCGGUGAUGUGCACAUAUAUCGAGAGGAACACCUAUGGCGAACG